GCUGUUCAAGUUACUAUUGAAUUUUGUUGUUCAACAAUUAUGCUGUUCAUUAUUUCUACAAUCACACAGAAAGGAUGUUCACAGAAGAUCUUAAUGCUCUAUUUUUAAAGAUUAAAGCAGUAUGCAGCUUACAAGCAGGGAGCUGACUGUAGCCAAUUCUGAGCAUUCCUCAGCAGAGGGAGCACACAAUUAAUAAUAGAAAGGUGAUAGAAGCACAGUGGUGUAUGAAGGGAGCUGCGGGAUCACUCUGUCCCUGCAGUUACAGCAGGUUCCCACAGCAGCUCACACAGGAAUGUCUCCACAGAAGGGACCCCACAGCCUCUGGACAGCGUGUUCCUGAGCUCAGACACUACUAAGUUCAUCUUUGUAUGGUCACUCCUGUGUUGCAGUUGGAGCGCACACGUUGCUUUACCUCAGGCUGUUUAAUAACCAGUUAAAGCUGAACUGGAGAUGUGCGACUGCGGUAUGUCAGACGGCUGCUUUUGAAAACAAGAAUCAAGAAAAUAGGGACCCUUCAUGAAGAUUAAGCAUCCUAGGCCUUGGGUAAUGUCAGAACAAUAGGACUAGUGGGACAUGUCGACAUUACUAACACAGCUGGGAUAGCACAGCUGAGUCUAUAGUUAAGACAAUACAGCUAGAAGGGAAAGGUAGCCAAAGAAAUUGAUUUUGACUGAUUGAGUAGAGGAGCUGGGUCGAAGUAACCUGAGGAAGACUUCUGACUUCAUCGCAAUGACCACUGGAGUGAGACCCCCACUACGGACUGCGCACGCGUCAGUAGGAGGGACAGCAUGUAAAUGAGGUUCCAGAUAAACAAUGAAUAUGUUAAUGAUUUCUUGGAAAUUUGAUGAAUAUGUAUACACUUGCUCUAUAACUUUGUAACGCUCCUGCCUUUCGUGUGAUAGGAGGAGUGAUCCCCCAUGUGCCCAGCGCUGAA
Molecule: non-coding RNA, 934 nt
Organism: Coturnix japonica (Japanese quail)
Lineage: Eukaryota; Metazoa; Chordata; Aves; Galliformes; Phasianidae
Source: RefSeq, a predicted model, not a curated record